This is a long non-coding RNA of Sapajus apella (tufted capuchin), 1807 nucleotides long. RefSeq lists it as uncharacterized. NCBI's taxonomy places the organism in Eukaryota, Metazoa, Chordata, Mammalia, Primates, Cebidae. The transcript is spliced from 2 exons. The record is from RefSeq and is a predicted model, not a curated record.
CCGACUCAAAAGCGAGCUUUGGCCGCGUGAGAAAUGGCAGGAAGGAGCCUGCUGGCGCGCGUCCGACUCCUGAGCCUGCAGCCCGGCACAGGACGCGCUGGGCUAGUAUAGCAUCGAGAAAAUAAAAGCCGAUUAUCCUAGGUCUACAUUUUGAGUGGAAAAGAAGCUGACCACGCUCACCGCAGACGUGCUGACGGCGAGGACUACAGUCGUAAGAGCUGCGGGAGGGCUGGAGCGGGGACGGGUCCUGUCCUGGAAGGCCGAGGACGCCAGGCGCUGCUGAGGGGUCGGAGUGGAGUGCUGGGCGAGAGAAGCUUGUAAGAAUUUCCUCAGGGACUCUGCCCUCGAGCUGCGCCUGGCCGCGUGCUGGAUGCUGACGCAGGAGGAGGAGCGCCACGGGUUUCCCGCGUAGGAAGCGGCAGGAUCCAGGGCACAGCGGGCUGGGGUUCAGGGCACUCGGAAUUGGCCCAGCAUCUUGGCUGGCCAGAAACUAGGCUAAGGCGUUGGUUAGAGUGAGUUAGGUUGUGGAGAGUGUCAAAUACCAGGCUCAGGUGUUAGAAAUGCAUUGAAUCAUCAGUGCAGGCUAUUCACGUAUAAUAUGGCUAGAACAGUGUUCAGGGCAGUGUCUAUACCGUAUAGAGUGGAUUAAAGGGCCAAAGAGAUGAAAGAAUACAGGUGACACGUGAAUCUAGCAAAAUGUAAUAUAAUCUGUGAAAAUAUGAUUAAAAAUAGGGCUGACAUUGUAAUAAAAUCUGUGAAAAUAUGAUUGAAAAAGGGAUGAUAUCGCCAUGGGAGGUCUUUUGGAAAAUAAACGGGAUUGUGAAAUACCGUUUUGGAAUAGGCGGAGGAAAAGGAGUUAGAAGGGGAGCUGCUCAGGGAGCGCCCAGAUGGUUCAAACAUCAUAAAAGCUACGGUGUUUCAGGAGAGGGAACAGGUGACUAGCAGAUGCUGCAGAGAGCCAAAAGAGGGUAAGAACUAAGGUGAUGCUGGAAUUAGGGGGAAUGGCAGGAGGACAAGAGAGAGACGUUACCUGUGGACAGUCCUUUCCAGUGGUUCAGAAGAGUUGGUAGACUGAAAAUAGAAAUAAUCUCUUUUUAGAAUUGUGAUACUGCAGGAAAGGAAAAAGGAUACUGAUUGAACUAAGCAAAAGAAUUGAAAGUAUUUUUUUUUAAAAGGGUAGUGGAGGCCUAAUUAAAUUUGUAGAAAAAAGGGUAAAGUUUAAUAGGGACAAGAAAUUGAAGAUGGGAGAAAAGAGAGCCAGCUGAUGGGGAGGGAAUGAGACAAGAUAGGCUGGUGAAGUUGUCUCAGAAAAGAAGGGAGAGAUUUGUUCCUGAAUAGGAGGAAAAUGGAGGGUGAGUGAAGACAGAAAUACUGCAAGAGAGAAGUUGAAGGUGUUUAUGUCAGAUGACUCUGACCACAAAGGUGUUAAUCAGAAGAUGUUACAACCAAUGACUGAAAGAGACAACUAGGUAUUUCAAGUUAUGUUCUGUAUCUACUAUCAAUAUAGAAGCCAUUAACCACAUAUGGCUAUGUAUAGAAAACAGCCUGUUUUCUACAUGGCAUGACAAGAGUAAUGCCAUCUUGAAGUGAAACCAUCAUAACGACCAGUGUUUCACUCUUGUAUACCAAGGCAUUCCCCCAGCAAGGUCAAGAAACAAUGCCUCUAGGAUAGAUAACCUCUCAAAAAGAAACAAUACCUGUGGCAUACAAAACCCCUCAUAAAAAUGAUUAUCUAACUUUCUCACUGGUCAGAGUUUUGCAAGAGGAUCUCAGACAUGACCAGCUGCUCAUGUUUUACCAAAAAAAA